CACGUAGGGCGCGAGCGUUGUCCGGAAUUAUUGGGCGUAAAGAGCUCGUAGGCGGCCUGUUGCGUCCGCUGUGAAAGCCCGGGGCUUAACCCCGGGUCGGCAGUGGAUACGGGCAGGCUAGAGGUAGGUAGGGGAGAAUGGAAUUCCCGGUGUAGUGGUGAAAUGCGUAGAGAUCCGGAAGAACACCGGUGGCGAAGGCGGCCUGCUGGGCAGUAGCUGACGCUGAGGCGCGACAGCGUGGGGAGCAAACAGG
RNAcentral lists this ribosomal RNA (253 nucleotides) under uncultured bacterium. RNAcentral's name for it is "partial 16S ribosomal RNA". It matches the Rfam family "Bacterial small subunit ribosomal RNA", at positions 524 to 776 of the family's 1533-position model. The record is from RNAcentral.